GAGAGGGAGAAAAAGUCAAAGGGAGAGGUAGAGAGAAAGAGAGUGAGAGACAGAGUGAAACAGAGAGGGUGGAGUAAGAUAGAAGAAACAUGGAGAGGUGCUUUGUUUCCAUGGUUACUCUCCUUGCAGUUAUCAGGACAUGCCCCCCCCCCAUUUUUUGCAGUCUGUAUCUACUGCAGCCUGGAUCUACUGCAGCCUGGAUCUACUGCAGUCUGGAUCUACUGCAGUCUGGAUCUACUGAACACUGGAUCUACUGCAGACUGAAUCUACUGAACACUGGAUCUACUGCAGACUGGAUCUACUGAACACUGGAUCUACUGCAGACUGGAUCUACUGCACACUGGAUCUACUGAACACUGGAUCUACUGAACACUGGAUCUACUGCAGACUGGAUCUACUGCACACUGGAUCUAUUUCAGACUGGAUCUACUGCACACUGGAUCUACUAUGGUCUGGAUCUACUGCACACUGGAUCUACUACAGUCUGGAUCUACUGAACACUGGAUCUACUACAGUCUGGAUCUACUGCACACUGGAUCUACUGCAGACUGGAUCUACUGCACACUGGAUCUACUGCACACUGGAUCUACUACAGUCUGGAUCUAAUGCACACUGGAUCUACUACAGUCUGGAUCUACUGCACACUGGAUCUACUGCACACUGGAUCUACUGCACACUUGAUCUACUGCACACUGGAUCUACUGCACACUGGAUCUACUACAGUCUGGAUCUACUGCACACUGGAUCUACUACAGUCUGGAUCUACUGAACACUGGAUCUACUACAGUCUGGAUCUACUGAACACUGGAUCUACUACAGUCUGGGUCUACUGAACACUGGGUCUACUGCAGACUGGAUCUACUGAACACGGGGUCUACUGCAGUCUGGAUCUACUGAACACUGGGUCUACUGCAGUCUGGAUCUACUGCAGACUGGAUCUACUGCAGUCUGGAUCUACUGCAGUCUGGAUCUACUGAACACUGGGUCUACUGCAGUCUGGAUCUAAUGCAGACUGGAUCUACUGCAGACUGGGUUUACUGCAGACUGGAUCUACUGAACACGGGGUCUACUGCAGACUGGAUCUACUGCAGACUGGGUCUACUGAACACUGGAUCUGCUGCAGACUGGAUCUACUGAACACUGGGUCUACUGCAGACUGGAUCUGCUGCAGACUGGAUCUACUGCAGACUGGAUCUACUGAACACUGGGUCUGCUGCAGACUGGAUCUACUGCAGACUGGAUCUACUGCAGACUGGAUCUGCUGCAGACUGGAUCUACUGCAGACUGGAUCUACUGAACACUGGGUAUACUGCAGACUGGAUCUGCUGCAGACUGGAUCUACUGCAGACUGGAUCUACUGCAGACUGGAUCUACUGAACACUGGGUAUACUGCAGACUGGAUCUACUGCAGACUGGAUCUGCUGCAGACUGGAUCUACUACAGACUGGGUCUACUGCAGACUGGAUCUACUGCAGACUGGAUCUACUGCAGACUGGAUCUACUGCAGACUGGAUCUACUGCAGACUGGAUCUACUAUGGUCUCACAGAGACUUUGACAUCAGUACGAGUUUCCUGUAUCAAUGGAGGAAAGGUUUUAGUGAUGUCAGAAACCCUUCAUGAACUAUUGUCCAAUCAGAGACUUCUAACCCUGUAUGAGAGGGAUGUCAGUCAGUUGUCAUAGUAACUAAUGACCUGUGGAACACUGUGUAUGUUACAUUCACCUGUGAAUCAUCUGUUUAUCCCAAACUCCAAAAAAUACCGUAUCACAAGUAAUAGAGGAGCAGUGAUACCGUAUAGAGCUCCAGAGUGGAGGUGUCAUAAUACCCAUAUAACCUGGUGGUCCAACAGGGAAAGGGUUCAAAUAGUUUUUCCACUUUUCAUUUUUCUCAUAUGGGAUUUAGAAACACUUAUAAUGAGGGCUAUGUUUCAUGUAGGCUUGCCCUGGCAUGACGUUUUGAUAACCAUGUAAAGACUAGGUGACUUUACAAUAUAUCCGGCUCUAUUUACUCUCAGAUUCUAAUCAAAUGCUAAUUAGUAUCAAAGAUGCAUGUCAUCUCUAGCUGACACAUUUGCUAACGGGUAUUGUGUCAAUUUAAAACUUAUACAAGACAGUUAACAGAAUUGUCCAUUUAAAGAAAUGUUGCCUAUGUAUUCAUUACUAAACAUUAGAUAGAUAAUCCAGAGAUUCUGACCUUUGACUCAAUUCGGCAGUCUCAUCCAGAUCAUCAUGGCAUUUGUAGUUCUUUAUGAUAGCCACAUUAGCGGCAUUACAUUUUUGGGGGGGUAAAUAUAUUGAUAAGUCACCUUGUCCUAGAGAGAUCGGUUAUCAAAAGGGUACACCAGGUUAGGCCUACACGAAACACAGCCCUUACUUUAGGUGUUUCUAAAAUCCCCUAUGGGAAAUAUGAUUGGUGGAAAAACAAUUAGAACCAUUUCUCUGUUUGACUUCUAGGUUAUGAGUUAUGACUCAUAAGUUAUGACUUAUACUGUGGUACUCUAUAAUUAAGCAGUAAGUCAUGAGGGGAUGUGGUAUAUGGCCAAUAUACCACGGCUAAGGGCUGUUCUUAUUCAUGACGCAUUGCGGAGGCAUAGACACAGCCUUUAGCCGUGGUAUAUUUUCCAUAUACCAUAAACCCCGAGCUGCCUUAUUGCUAUUAUAAACUGGCUACCAACAUAAUUAGAGCAGUAAAAAUACAUGUUUUGUCAUACCUGUGGUAUACGGUCUGAUAUACCACGGCUGUCAGCCAAUUAGCAUUCAGGGCUCGAACCACCCAGUUUAUAACAGGUAAUGGAGAACCAGUGAUACCAUAUUACAGGUAAUAGAGGACCAGUGCUACCGUAUUACAGGUAAUAGAGGACCAGUGCUACCGUAUUACAGGUAAUAGAGGAGCAGUGAUACCAUAUUACAGGGAAUAGAGGACCAGUGAUACCGUAUUACAGGUAAUAGAAGAGCAGUGAUAGCGUAUUACAGGUCAUAGAGGACCAGUGAUACCAUAUUACAGGUAAUAGAAGAGCAGUGAUAGCGUAUUACAGGUCAUAGAGGACCAGUGAUAGUAUUACAGGUAAUAGAAGAGCAAUGAUACCGUAUUACAGGUAAUAGAGGAGCAGUGAUACCAUAUUACAGGUAAUAGAGGAGCAGUGAUAGUAUUACCGGUAAUAGAAGAGCAUUGAUACCGUAUUACAGGUAUUAGAGGACCAGUGAUAGUAUUAGAGAUAGUAGAGGAGCAGUGCUGUACGGUAUGUAUUUCAGCUAACAGAGGAGCAGUGCUACCAUAUUACAGGUAAUAAAAGAGCAGUGAUACCGUAUUACAGGUAAUAGAUGAGCAGUGCUACCAUAUUACAGGUAAUAGAGGAGCAGUGAUGUACGGCAUGUAUUACAGGUAAUAGAGGAGCAGUGAUACCAUAUUACAGUUAAUAGAAGAGCAGUGAUGCAGUAUUACAGGUAAUAGAGGAGCAGUGAUAUACGGCAUGUAUUACAGGUAAUAGAGGAGCAGUGAUACCAUAUUACAGGUAAUAGAAGAGAAGUGAUGCAGUAUUACAGGUAAUAGAGGAGCAGUGAUACCAUAUUACAGGUAACAGAAGAGCAGUGAUACAGUAUUACAGGUAAUAGAGGAGCAGUGAUGUACGGCAUGUAUUACAGGUAUUAGAAGAGCAGUGAUAUACAGCAUGUAUUACAGGUAAUAGAAGAGCAGUGAUACCAUAUUACAGGUAAUAGAGGAGCAGUGCUACCAUAUUACAGGUAAUAGAGGAGCAGUGAUACCAUAUUACAGGUAAUAGAGGAGCAGUGAUACCAUAUUACAGGUAAUAGAGGAGCAGUGAUACCAUAUUACAGGUAAUAGAGGAGCUGCUGCUGCAGAGUUAAUAAUUAUCAUUAUGGAGUCAAAAAUAUUCUAAAUACUUUACAGACUUUAGAAAUACAGCAACAACAGGAACAUCUGCAGUCAGAAAUCAGACUAAUGAAUCAAAUGAAAUGUUUUUGAAUCCUAAAUCGACCCUUAGCCCCUGUUUCAUAGGCCUAUGCACUCCAGUAUUCCAGUGCAGUACUGUAUAUCACUCUAUUCUUUACAUAGUGCACUACUUUUGGCCUGAACUCUGGAUUAGGGACUUCUACAGGGAUCCGUCUUGUGUUCUGUUGAUGUUUCUGUUGGCUAGAAGAAUAAAGACACACAUGUU
Molecule: long non-coding RNA, 4173 nt
Organism: Oncorhynchus gorbuscha (pink salmon)
Lineage: Eukaryota; Metazoa; Chordata; Actinopteri; Salmoniformes; Salmonidae
Exons: 2
Source: RefSeq, a predicted model, not a curated record